UUAGAUGUCCGGGGCCGCACGCGCGCUACACUGAAGGAAUCAGCGUGUGAUUUCCCUGUCCGGCAGGACUGGGUAACCCGUUGAACCUCCUUCGUGAUAGGGACAGGAGCUUGUAAUUCUUCUCCUCGAACGAGGAAUUCCUAGUAAGCACGAGUCAUCAGCUCGUGUUGAUUACGUCCCUGCCCUUUGUACACACCGCCCGUCGCUACUACCGAUUGAAUGAUUUAGUGAGGUCUUCGGACUGGCGCUCGGAGCGGCCUCUUGGCCGGGCCGRCGUGCCGGAAAGAUGACCGAACUUUGGUCAUUUAGAGGAAGUAAAAGUCGUAACAAGGUUUCC
RNAcentral lists this ribosomal RNA (337 nucleotides) under Metagonia beni. RNAcentral's name for it is "bacterial SSU rRNA". The record is from RNAcentral. Lineage: Eukaryota; Metazoa; Arthropoda; Arachnida; Araneae; Pholcidae.